Chiroxiphia lanceolata (lance-tailed manakin) is the source of this 6173-nucleotide long non-coding RNA. RefSeq lists it as uncharacterized. NCBI's taxonomy places the organism in Eukaryota, Metazoa, Chordata, Aves, Passeriformes, Pipridae. The transcript is spliced from 3 exons. The record is from RefSeq and is a predicted model, not a curated record.
AGCACCUGCUCUCGGUGACACAGCAGAACACAGUUCCUUUGGGGAAAGGAAUUCCUUUCUCAUCCAGCCCUCCCCCCACCCCCAGGUGCAUGCACUGAAACUGGGCUUUUUCCCAGGUGUAUCUCCCCAUUUCCAGGUGUAUCCCAUAUGUUUUGGGUUUGUAGCAGUGAGGAGGUUUGGUGACAAGCUGGGAACUUUGUUACAAACCAGGAAUGUUGUGCUCACUCCUGUGUGCAGGAAACAAGGAGGUGCUUUAAGGAGAACUUGAGUUCUGUUGUGGGUUUUUGGUUUUACUGCCUUUUUUGUGUUUUCCGAGAAUUGCAGGUACAGUGGGGUCUGGUUCCAAACUCUGAGUAAGUAAGUGCUUCUCUCCAGAGAUGCUUUUAAUUCUGGGAUAAUUUAAUUACAUAAAAGUUCUCAUUAACAUUUUACCUCUUUGUUAAUAGCAAGGAACUGCUGUCUGCUAGGGACUCUUCAGGUACAGUGCAGUGGGCAUUACAUGAGGUUUAUCAUUUUCUAGGCACCUGGAGGAAAAUGGUUUUAGCAUCUUGGAGAAGUAUUAAAAAUACUCCGAGAUGCCAAGGUUUGAGCUCUUGUUCCUGUGAUUCAAGGAUGAAACAGUUCUGCUUUUUUAAUUUUUUUCUUUUCAAAGAACAUAGUUAAUUUUCUCUUAUUUUUCCCCAAUAAUUGGGCACUUUUCUUCAGCUGUCUCAGCCACUUUGGUAAUCCAGGCAUUUAGGAGGGAAGAAGGGAUUUAAAUCCCCGAGGGGGAUCUAAAUCCCCAAUGCUCUGUUUAACAACCAAAAGGAUGUUGCAGCAACUUCUAAACUGAAGUGUAAAUCUGACUGUAUCCCUUUACAAGCCCCAAAAUUGUGAUCUUGCACUUAAACCCAGAAUGUAAUCUUGCACUUAGCCAUGUUUUCAGGGAUUUGGGCCACAGAAAAGCGACGCUGCUCCAAUAGAUUCCUUGGGUGAUGGAUACAGGGAUGGGUUGAUUUGUGGUACAACUUGAUCACAUUCAAAAUGGGGAAUAGGUUGUGAAUAGGAGAUGAAGGAGGAAAUGUCUUGAAUGUAUUGUAUGGGUGUAACUGAACUUGCUUGAGUUUCUGCCACAAAAAUAGAAAUUUUUGUUGCUGAGCCACUUUGAUUCCUUUAUCUGCCUGGAACGAGUGGACACCGUGUCCCAAGAACUAAGAAUUCCAAUGUGGCAGGAGAUUCUGGUUUUACAGCUGCUUUUCUUUCUAAAUGAGAAGAUAAAAGCCUCAUUUAAUGCUCUUAAAUUUGAGGGGUAAAACUCAGGAGUUCUGGGUUGUCCUUCAGGGUGAAUGUAAGAGAUGGCAGAAUUCAGCUGUUCAGCUUCCUAUUAACAACGAGAAUUUUGGGGAAUGACACCUUAAAUGCAAAUCACUGUGUUUUGGAAGAUCCAGAGUGUUUACCACUUAAUGCAAAGAAUGUUUUGGUUGGAGCAGGUGUCUGUUGUGUGUCAGCAGGGGAUCAACUCUGUUCAAGUGCUACUUGUGUUCAGAGGGGGUUUUCUCAUUGCAUCCGACAUGAAUCAUUUGCAGAGUUUUCUAGGAAAGAAACUUGAACCUCUGGGAAUUCAAAUCUACCCCAAACCAGGAAAAAAAAGCACUAAUGUUUGUGUUGGACACUGGAAGUCGCUGAGAGCAGCGUUUGUUCCGCUGAGGCACAGCAGACACCUGCUUAAAAGCCCAUAAAACUUGGGGUCAGCGUGGCUGGUCAAGGCAAACUCAGUGUGGGAAGAGCAUCCUGGGUGCUCUUCCACUUUUUCUUGGAAAAUCCUGAUGGUUUUAACUGCCACUGGUUGUUAUGAGCCAAAUUGUGCUACGCUGGAGGGUGAAAAGGAGCAGGUGAGGAUGUGUUUGACUCCAGGUUUUCUGGCUCCUUAUUUCAUGGGGUAUCUCCUUUAAAUCUGGUUUAUUUGUGGUGACUGCUCUGUUUUGCAAGCAAGGAUUUUAACACCCUUUGAGGGUUCUUAUGGCAAAACAUUGAGUGGCAGCACUUUGCCAGCCGUGGAUUCCAGCGCUGCCAUCCCUCAUGGGCUGUGCUUUCCUCCUUGGUCUGAGGGAUUCCCCAUUGGAGUAACUGUCCACUGAAGUUGUCUUGGCCAGGGCUGAGCAUUCAGAAGCCCGUGGGUGAUACCACUGUGUGCAGAGCAAAGUAGAUGUAGCAGUUGUUGGCUCUCUCCUUGUGUCUGGCAUUCCGUUGCUCUGGCGAGAGCUCGGUUUUCCUCCACAUUGUGUGCAGCUGAUGUUCCUGUAUUUCACUGGUGUGUCGAAUUAGCCUGGAAAAAGGAUGUCCUUUUUCCUGAAUCAUUUCACCCUUGUGCUUUAUGCUUUAGGGAAAGAACCUCAAAUGACUCAUAGUUUUGUUGGAGAUUUUAGUUCUUUGGGUUUUUUUUUUCUUCUUUUAAUUAGAAACAUUACGCAACUUUCUUGGCCUCCAUCCAGUUGCUUUGUUUGCUCCUGUUGAGCUGCUGUGGUGGGAACACCAAGGUUACUCUCAAUCCAGAGGUUUUAGGGUCAGAAAUACCAACACAUCCUUGUCAGCAUUGCAGAGAGAAGGGCCAGGCAGACAAAUCUUGCCUUCUCUCUUUUGUUUUCCCACGAGGAUGUUAAAGAUGGAAUAUUUCAGCGACAGCUUUCUCAGCCCCUGUGGAGAGCAGAGAAUGAGUGGAAAUUUCUUCCACGGGUUUGGGAACCCUCUGGUUGAUGGCAACUGAGGUGAAAGGCCUCAAGUGUUAAUGGGAGAGGAGGAGUGAAUCAAAAUUGUGAAGACAGGUUCAAAAACUCUGAGGACUCAGGGAAAAAAUGGCUUGGAAAAUGGUAAUUCCUGGCUCUAAGUGAAACAGUGUUGAGGGACUCCUGGGGAGUCUGUGUGCCCAGAGGGGAAGAAAUGAUGCCGUGUGGCUCUAGAGCUUUUGGGGUUCUUUCCCCUUUGUCCCCCGCUUUGUAGCAUUGAAGGACAGAUAUUCCAAUGAUUCAUAGACUGAACGAUGAGGUGAUUUUUGUAUCAGGCUUAAAACAGCCCGGCUGGUUCAGAGAAUGGUUCGUUGAAUAUUCAACUUCUUGCAGUUCUGAUUGUGUGCGAACGAUGGCUGAGAAAUAUGACUUGAAUAGUAACAAUUUUCAGUUCCAUGGGGUGUGUCUUUGAUUUGACCUUUCCUUUACUGUUGGCGCAGCCAAACGAGGGCAGAAGAGCUGUGUAACAACACUACAUUUCAUGGUUUUGGUGAUAAGUUGCCUUCAGGAAAUAACCCUGGGAGGAAAGUCAACCCAAUUAGCCAUAAUUGGGUUGGUUUUUCUGGUGGUUAAAUGGUUUCAAUGUGUCCCAUCAACUGUUACUGCAAGUUGGGUAAUCCUCAGUACUGUAAGCCUAGUUUAACCUUGGUCCAAAACGAAGCCCUGCACUACUUGUUUUGCAUCUCUCCCUGGAAGGCGACUUCAUUCCGAGGUUUUGUGCCCGUGGGUGGAAUUGGUGCUUUUUGAAAUCCAAGUAGAAUAUUCAGAAAGGCCUCGUAGCUGUUUAUGUUCAUCUGUAUAAUGUAGGGAGGGGGGAAAAAACCCCAAAUCUGGUGUAAACAUUUGUAUUGAAAUAACGUUUUCUUUCCUCCUGCAAGCAAAUCUGGUGGACUGCAGAAGACAUGGGAUACCAAGCUCUAAAUGGACCUUUGGGAAGAGAAGCUGUGGCUUAUGUGGAAUUUCCAUGGGCCUCCUGAUGGAAGAAAGCUUAUCUGUUUAGUAUUUGUGCAUUUUACUAAAAAUGGCAGCUUUAAAAAAAAAAAAAAGUUGUGUAUCUGCUAUUGUGAUGCCAAUGCCCGUGUUUUAAGUGGAAAAAAAAAAAUGACCUCUUUGCUUUGUGCUGUGUACACAAGAUUGCUGGAAAAAAAGUAAAGGAAUACCCUUUUUAUGGCUCACACAGCUUGAAAGUAGCUGUCACUCAAACAUGCGCUCACAGUUGAGCUGAUUUUGUUUCAUUCUAAAUAAAUUGUUUCUUUUGAGGAAAAAUGGUUUUUCUGCCUGGGAGUUGAAUUGACGACAAACGUUUGGCCCCGGUGUCGGCAGCGGAGGGGUCCCUGCUGCUGCUGCCCCGUGUCUGAGCUGAUAGUUGUGGGGCUUUGAGCAAGAACAGGGGAGAGAAACCGACACCUUUUCGCGUUGACCGACCUGUUGUGCCAAAGCGGAGGAAUUCUAGUUCACUGCCUUGCUGUGACCCCCCCUGGUCUGUGGUGAAAAAGGGGGUCACUCGCUGCCUCACUCCUCACCGGGACAGGGAAACGGUCCUGCUGCUGGCACACAAGGAGCAGGGAAGCACCACCCUGCAUCUCACAACUGUGGCCAAGUCUCGGGGCUUCGCUGGUCGGAAGAGCCGGAGUUCCUGAAUUUUUUAAGUUUCUUGAUUUGCUUUGUUCACCCAACGCGUUUUGCCUUUAGUUUUGAUUCUUGGUUGUUGGUUUUGUGUUUUUUGUUUUUUUUUUUUAAUUUGGAAGAAAAAAAAAAAAGGUUCGAGAUUGCUUUGAAUGUUGCACGUUAAAAAAAAGCCACCUUUGCACCAAAAUUGCCAAAAGAAAAGAGAAAUGAGUCCUUAAGAGUGUUUAAGUGCUGUUAAUAAAACGAGGCGCUCCUCUGUCUCCGGGGGCUUUUCAGCAGUUGUGGGUUUAGUGCUGAAUGGAUGAAGAGUUCCUGAGAGCUGGAGGCGGUAAUUUAAACCUUUGAGUUGGUGUCUCAGUGCCUUAUUUUGACCGGUUUUGAAGCCAGCACGCCUCGGAUGUGCAUGUACCCUGCUCACGCCCCAGGGUCCCCUUGCAGCCGCCUCCUGGGGUCAGCAAAAAUCGGAGGCGUCCCGAAAAUCCCGUGCCGCGUUCUCCUGUGCCGGGGGCUCCUGGGCCGUGGAAGCUGUUCCCGAGCAGGAGCACGACUCCACGUUUGCUGCAGGAGACUUCAGGGCGUGUUGGAGGACCGUCGUCAAGAGGAAGCUGCCCCUGUUGCAUCGUUGGCUUCAGAACCUCUCGUGGCGUUGCUUGGGUUCAAUUAAUGUGACGUGCGAUGAAGACGCUUCGAGUGGCACUUUGCCCUGAUUGCCUUGACAUACUUUAACUGCCGUGGAUAACGAACCUAGUGCUGUCAUAGUGCAGGAUCUUUGCUAGGAUGCAGUGCCUUCCAACCUACGGAUGCUCUGCAAGGUGCCUGUUCCCGGGGCAAAGCGCUGUGUAAAUCCCUAAAACAGCCAAAGGUGUGAGCAGAGGAGUGUGUUUGACCACCAGAUGUUACCCUGAGCUUGAUCAGCUGAAAGACAAAGGUCUGAAGACUCUUUUCCCACCUCCCAUCCAGAUGGAAGGACUCCCAGGGCACUGUUGUUUUCUCAUUAUGGACACUGGUUUCCUGCACAUUUUUUGGAUAGAUGAGAGGUCAUCCCUGCUGUGGGAAAUAGCAGAUCCUGGGAGAUGGAACAGCCACGUCCUUCCUGCAGGAAAAGAGGACCCUGUGGAGCAGCUGCUGGCCGAAUCCUCAUGGAAGUAUCACCUUCCCUCCCUGUCCUGGGGUCCCUCCCCACGGCUCCUCGUUUGGGUCUGAGCAGAACGAGCUGAGAUCUCUCUGUGCUUUGGCACUUGGGAGCUCCUUGGCCACCUCAUCCCAAGAGGUGACUCAGCUUUGCUCCUGGGAAUGCUCAGGAAGCCAAGGGAUGGCUCAGGUUUGGAACUGUCUGGAUGAACACCCCGGGAUUAAAUCCAAGCUCUGGAAAAGCACAGCUCAGGAGCAAAGGCAGUGACACCCAGGUCCAAGGGGCUUAUUGUUCCCAUCAAAUGACACUUUACACUGUGAAUCUCUCAGGUGGCUUUAAUGAGGAGAAAUAUCCAGAUAUCAAAACAGAAUCUGAUCAGGAGAAAUAUCCAGACACAAAACCAUAAUCUAAUCAGGAGCAGUAUCCAGAUAUCCAAAAUAAAUCUAAGCAGGAGAAAUACCCAGAUAAAAAACCAUAAUCUAAUCAGGAGCAAUAUCCAGAUACAAACCCAUAAUCUAAUCAGGAGCAAUAUCCAGACAGAUAUCCAGACUGAAUCUAAUCAGGAGAAAUAUCCAGAUACAAAACCAUAAUCUAAUCAGGAGCAAUAUCCAGAUGUCCAAAAUAAACCUAAUCAGGAGAAACAUCCAGAU